This is a non-coding RNA of Pelobates cultripes (western spadefoot toad), 153 nucleotides long. Lineage: Eukaryota; Metazoa; Chordata; Amphibia; Anura; Pelobatidae. The record is from the annotation of a GenBank genome assembly.
GAGUAUGUUUUCCUGGCAGUAUAGUGGUCCUUUAAUAUUCCAAAGGUUAGGGUGUUAAAGUUAUGUAUGAUGCACAGAAUACCUGUAAAUUAACACGAUUCCUCCUAGGUGGCCUUUGUUAAAGGACCACUAUAGUGCCAGGAAAACAUACUC